RNAcentral lists this unclassified non-coding RNA (28 nucleotides) under Mus musculus (house mouse). Its description in RNAcentral is "oocyte_clustered_small_RNA7514". The record is from RNAcentral. Lineage: Eukaryota; Metazoa; Chordata; Mammalia; Rodentia; Muridae.
UUAGAUGUUCUGUCAAACUGCUAGUGUA